ACUGCUCAGUAACACGUGGACAACUUACCCAAGAGUCCGGGAUAACCCCGGGAAACUGGGGAUAAUACCGGAUAGAUCAUCUUUGCUGGAAGGCUUGGUGGUUGAAACUUCCGGGGCUUUUGGAUGGGUCUGCGGCUGAUUAGGUUGUUGCCGGUGUAACGUACCGUCAAGCCUGUAAUCAGUACGGGUUGUGGGAGCAAGAGCCCGGAGAUGGAUUCUGAGACACGAAUCCAGGCCCUACGGGGCGCAGCAGGCGCGAAAACUCUACAAUGCAGGCAACUGCGAUAGGGGAACAUCGAGUGAUCCUCAUAUUGGGGGUCUGUCCACCUGUCUAAAAAACGGGUGUUAGCAAGGGCCGGGCAAGACCGGUGCCAGCCGCCGCGGUAAUACCGGCGGCUCGAGUGGUGGCCGAUAUUAUUGAGUCUAAAGGGUCCGUAGCCGGCUUUGCAAGUCUCUCGGGAAAUCCAGCGGCUUAACCGUUGGUCGUCCGGGGGGUACUACAUUGCUUGGGACUGGGAGAGGUAGGAGGUACUCAGGGGGUAGGAGUGAAAUCCUGUAAUCCUUUGGGGACCACCGGUGGCGAAGGCGUCCUACCAGAACAGGUCCGACGGUGAGGGACGAAAGCUAGGGGCACGAACCGGAUUAGAUACCCGGGUAGUCCUAGCCGUAAACGAUGCUCGCUAGGUGUCACAACAGUCGUGAAUUGUUGUGGUGCCGUAGGGAAGCCGUGAAGCGAGCCACUUGGGAAGUACGACCGCAAGGUUGAAACUUAAAGGAAUUGGCGGGGGAGCA
RNAcentral lists this ribosomal RNA (792 nucleotides) under uncultured archaeon. RNAcentral describes it as "bacterial SSU rRNA". It matches the Rfam family "Archaeal small subunit ribosomal RNA", at positions 85 to 878 of the family's 1478-position model. The record is from RNAcentral.